Molecule: non-coding RNA, 768 nt
Organism: Vicugna pacos (alpaca)
Lineage: Eukaryota; Metazoa; Chordata; Mammalia; Artiodactyla; Camelidae
Source: RefSeq, a predicted model, not a curated record
UACAGAGUUCCAGCCUAGCCUCUGAAGGCCAGGGGCAGGGCCCUGGGGCAGAGAGGUGGAAGUCAGGCUUCCCAUCAUGUGUCCCAUGCCUGCGUAGUGGUUGGAGCUUGAAGGCCCUCAGAGCACCAGCCUGAGAGGGGGAGAUGCAGAGUCUCCGGUAUGCCUGUCUGCUCCCCAGUGGCCAGAGGCUUUCUGAGGGCAAGAAUGUUGUGCCGAGGGUCUCUGAAUCCACGGGGCCUGCACAGUACCCUCCCCUCAACGCUCACAGAAUGAGCACAAGAAACCAUCAUCACAAUCAAGAUAAUGAACAUAUCCAUCAAACCCAAAAGUUCCCUAAUAUCUCCUUCUAGCACCUCCCCCUUGCCACCACGCUGUCGCCCUGGGCAACCACUGAUCUGCUGUCAUUAUCAAUUAGUUCACCUUUUCUAGAACUUUAUAGGCAAUUAUAUGAGGUACUGGAGAUUGAACUGGCUAUGUGCACACGGGGCAUGUACUCUGCCACUGAGCUGUACCCUCCCCCUCCACACAGUAUGUAUUUUUUAUGCCUUGCUUCCUUCACUCAACAGUUAUUUUGAGUUUCAGUCAUGCUUUCGUGUGUAUCAGUUGUUCAUUCCUUUUUCCUGUCGACUGGUGUUCCAUCGAAUGCCUGCACCGUGGUUCCUUUAUUCAUUUGCUUGUUGAUGGACAUUUGAGAAGUUCCCCAUGUUUAGCUAGCCCAAACAAAGUUACUGUGAGCCUUCAAGGAUGAACUUUUGUGAGGCCCUGGAU